Molecule: ribosomal RNA, 1694 nt
Filed under: Brassica rapa (field mustard)
Lineage: Eukaryota; Viridiplantae; Streptophyta; Magnoliopsida; Brassicales; Brassicaceae
Description: SSU rRNA
Rfam family: Eukaryotic small subunit ribosomal RNA (bases 232-1688)
Source: RNAcentral
UCGGAACUUGUGAUCCUUGCUUCUUUGCAUAAUUUAUGCAUUGUUCGCAAAGGUGAAUAAGCUGUUUGCUGAGAUCUUGGUUGCGGAAAUAUUACAGCGGUGAGUCGAAGAAAUUCUGUCCCGCUAAGCACGUUUGUCUCCGGACAAAAGAUGAAGGUCAAGUCUGCGUCUGUUCCCACUUUCCAUGUGUUUGCGGGAAUAUGAUGUGGUCUUGCCCUGAUUUAUGAAUGCUACUGGGUUGAUCUUGCCAGUAUUCAUAUGCUUGUCUCAAAGAUUAAGCCAUGUGUGUAGGAUAGUGGCCUACCAUGGUGGUAAUGGGAGACGGAGAAUUAGGGUUCGAUUCCGGAGAGGGAGCCUGAGAAACGGCUACCACAUCCAAGGAAGGCAGCAUGGACACAAAUUACCCAAUCCUGACACGGGGAGGUAGUGACAAUAAAUAACAAUACCGGGCUCUUUGAGUCGGGUAAUUGGAAUGAGUACAAUCUAAAUCCCUUAACGAGGAUCCAUUGGAAGGCAAGUUUGGCGCCAGCAGCCGUGGUAAUUCCAGCUCCAAUAGUGUAUAUUUAAGUUGUUACAGUUAAAAAGCUCGUAGUUGAACCUUGGGAUGGGUCGCCCGGUCCAGCUUUGGUGAGCACCGGUCGGCUUGUCUCUUCUGUUGCCGAUUGCUCAUGGCCUUAACUGGCCGGGUCGUGCCUCCGGUGCUGUUAGUUUGAAGAAAUUAGAGUGCUCAAAGCAAGCCUACGCUCUGUAUACAUUAGCAUGGGAUAACAUCAUAGGAUUUCGAUCCUAUUGUGUUGGCCUUCGGAUCGGAGUAAUGAUUAACAGGGACAGUCGGGGGCAUUCGUAUUUGCCAAGGAUAUUUUCAUUAAUCAAGAAUGAAAGUUGGGGGCUCGAAAACGAUCAGAUACCGUCGUAGUCUCAACUAUAAACGAUGCCGACCAGGGAUCAGCAGAUGUUGCUUUUAGGAGUCCGCUGGCACCUUAUGAGAAAUCAAAGUUUUUGUGUUCCGGGGGGAGUAUGGUCGCAAGGCUGAAACUUAAAGGAAUUGACGGAAGGGCACCACCAGGAGUGGAGCUUGCGGCUUAAUUUGACUCAACACGGGAAACUUACCAGGUCCCCGACAUAGUAAGGAUUGACGUGAUCGAGAGCUCUUUCUUGAUUCUAUGGGUGGUGGUGCAUGGCGUUCUUAGUUGGUGGAGCGAUUUGUCUGGUUAAUUCUGUUAACGAACGAGACCUCAGCCUGCUAACUAGCUACGGGAGGCAUCCCUUCACGGCCGGGUUUCUUAGAGGGACUAUGGCCGUUUAGGCCAAGGAAGUUUGAGGCAAUAACAGAUCUGUGAUGCCCUUAGAUGUCCCGGGCGACACGCUACACCGAUGUAUUCAACGAAGUUCACAUCUUGGCCGACAGGCCCGGGUAAUCUUUGAAAUUUCAUCGUGAUGGGGAUAGAUUAUUGCAAUUGUUGGUCUUCAACGAGGAAUUCCUAGUAAGCGCAAGUCAUCAGCUCGCGUUGACUACGCCCCCUCUUUUUGUACACACCGCCCGUCGCUCCUACCGAUUGAAUGAUCCGGUGAAGUGUUCGGAUCGCGGUGACGUGGGUGGUUCGCCGCCAGCGACGUUGUGAGAAGUCCACUAAACCUUAUCAUUUAGAGGAAGGAGAAGUCGUAACAAGGUUGCCGAAGGAUCAUUGUCGUAC